AUACUAUAUAUAUAUAUAGAAUGAGUUGAGCUGGAAUGCUAUCGGUAGCAAACGGGCUCCGUUGCCACCCAUUUGUUUUCGAUGAUGGAGCUUUUAAAUUGACGAUCGGCACCGUUGAACAUGAUCUAUAUCAGUUGAAGUAUCUAGAAAUCAAAUUUCAAAUCUUUUCGACAUCAUUUACCUAAUGAUCAAAGGGUUUCAAAAUUAGUAAUUUUAAUGGUUGAUAUGAGGGGUUUUCUUGUUUAACGGUGUAAAGCUAUCCAAAUCAAUUAAAUUUUGGUUAGAAAAUUCUUUAAACUAUUUAGAAUAAGAUCUAUACUCUCGAUCAAGAUUACAAAAUUUUUAUCAUCACUUUUCAGAGAAUAUUCAUUUUCAGCCAUUCAUUUUUACGCCCACUUGAUGGACAAGAAAACAAUAUGGAAAAAGUAUGAAAUUUGAUUUCUAGAUACUUCAAGUGGUAUAGAUCAUUUUCAACAGUGCCGAUCGUCGAUUUGGAGGCACCAUCAUCGAAAACAAAUGGGUGGCAACGGAGUCCGUUUGCUACUGAUAGUAUUCCAGCUCAACUCUAUAUAGAAUUAUGCUACUAUACUAUUAAUAGUACCAAACUCUUGAUACUAUUGAGUUUUCAGCCAUUGAAUGAAAGGAUGUACGGUUAGGAUGAUGGUGGUCUCCGGUUAAAUUGAUAGUGGUCCCCUAGGGUUGAGUGGGUGGUUGGUUCAAUAGUAUAAUCUAACGGGUGAAAAUGAUUAAAAGGUAGAUCUAACGAUAGAAAACUCAAUAGUACCAAAGGCUUGGUACUAUUGAUAGUAUAGUAGCCAGACUCAUAUAUAUAUAUAUAUAUACAUAUAUAUAUAUAUAUAUAUAUACAUAUAUAUAUACAUAUACAUAUAGAAUUAGACUGGAAUACUAUUAGUAGUAAAACACUCUUUUUGCUAUCAAGUUUUUAACCCUUGGAUGAAAAAUUGUAGGGUUAGGAUGAUAUUAGUCGGUUAGAGUUGAGUGGUCCUCCUAGGGUUGAGUGGUCCCUACUGGGUUAUAGUAUUUAAUCCAAUGGCUAGAAAUGAUGAAAAGAGUUGAUCCAAUGGCUAAAAAACUGGUAGCAACAAUAGAAUUUUGCUACUAAUAGUAGCCCAGUCCAACUCUA
Molecule: long non-coding RNA, 1144 nt
Filed under: Ananas comosus (pineapple)
Lineage: Eukaryota; Viridiplantae; Streptophyta; Magnoliopsida; Poales; Bromeliaceae
Description: long non-coding RNA (ACOM_LNC023971)
Source: RNAcentral